GUCCUAGCCCUAAACGGUGCUUGCUUGCUGUAAGAGGAAUCGACCCCUCUUGUGGCGGAGCUAACGCGUUAAGCAAGCCGCCUGGGAAGUACGGUCGCAAGAUUAAAACUCAAAGAAAUUGACGGGGGCCUGCACAAGCGGUGGAGUAUGUGGCUUAAUUCGAUGCAACGCGAAGAACCUUACCUGGCCUUGACAUGCAAGUAGUAGAAGCCUGAAAGGGUGACGAGGUAGCAAUACCAGCUUGCACAGGUGCUGCAUGGCUGUCGU
RNAcentral lists this ribosomal RNA (267 nucleotides) under uncultured bacterium. Its description in RNAcentral is "partial 16S ribosomal RNA". It matches the Rfam family "Bacterial small subunit ribosomal RNA", at positions 793 to 1055 of the family's 1533-position model. The record is from RNAcentral.